Molecule: small RNA, 17 nt
Filed under: Arabidopsis thaliana (thale cress)
Lineage: Eukaryota; Viridiplantae; Streptophyta; Magnoliopsida; Brassicales; Brassicaceae
Description: ATSL148340
Source: RNAcentral
GAGAGAUUUAGGGAAGA